GUGGGGAAUAUUGGACAAUGGGGGGAACCCUGAUCCAGCCAUGCCGCGUGUGUGAAGAAGGCCUUUUGGUUGUAAAGCACUUUAAGCGAGGAGGAGGCUACCGAGAUUAAUACUCUUGGAUAGUGGACGUUACUCGCAGAAUAAGCACCGGCUAACUCUGUGCCAGCAGCCGCGGUAAUACAGAGGGUGCAAGCGUUAAUCGGAUUUACUGGGCGUAAAGCGCGCGUAGGUGGCCAAUUAAGUCAAAUGUGAAAACCCCGAGCUUAACUUGGGAAUUGCAUUCGAUACUGGUUGGCUAGAGUAUGGGAGAGGAUGGUAGAAUUCCAUGUGUAGCGGUGAAAUGCGUAGAGAUCUGGAGGAAUACCGAUGGCGAAGGCAGCCAUCUGGCCUAAUACUGACACUGAGGUGCGAAAGCAUGGGGAGCAAACAGGAUUAGAUACCCUUGUAGUCC
This 451-nucleotide ribosomal RNA is filed under the name uncultured bacterium. RNAcentral's name for it is "partial 16S ribosomal RNA". It matches the Rfam family "Bacterial small subunit ribosomal RNA", at positions 354 to 796 of the family's 1533-position model. The record is from RNAcentral.